Molecule: ribosomal RNA, 420 nt
Filed under: uncultured Bacteroidota bacterium
Lineage: Bacteria; Pseudomonadati; Bacteroidota
Description: bacterial SSU rRNA
Rfam family: Bacterial small subunit ribosomal RNA
Source: RNAcentral
CGGAGGAGUAUGUGGUUUAAUUCGAUGAUACGCGAGGAACCUUACCUGGGCUUGAAAGUUAGUGACCGUUCCUGAAAGGAUUUCCACGACUAGGUGUGACGAGCGCAACCCCUAUCAUUAGUUGCCAGCGGGAUGUCAAGUAGCACGGCCCUUACGUCCAGGCUACAUACAUGGCAAGUACAAGGGUUGCUACACAGCGAUGUGAUGCUUCUCUAAAGCUUGUCCCAGUUCGGAUUGGAGUGCAACUCGACUCCAUGAAGCUGGAUUCGCUAGUAAUCGAAAUCAGCAAUGUUUCGGUGAAUACGUUCCCGGGCCUUGUACACACCGCCGUCAAACAAUGGAAGUUGGGAGUAUCUAAAGUCGAUAACCGCAAGGAGUCGCCUAGGUAAAACCAGUAACUGGUGUUAAGUCGUACAAGGU